Molecule: long non-coding RNA, 293 nt
Organism: Chanos chanos (milkfish)
Lineage: Eukaryota; Metazoa; Chordata; Actinopteri; Gonorynchiformes; Chanidae
Exons: 3
Source: RefSeq, a predicted model, not a curated record
GCAGAGCAAGCCGUCCCCCGGCACUGAACGGGAAAACAUUGCUGUUUUAGCAUAAUCUGGAGUUACUGCUAUGUCAUGAGCGCGAUGCAACUUGAACAGCUUUUGUUACAGAAUGCAGAGAAUAGGUAAGAUUUCUGGUUUGGAACAACUCCAAAUUACUUCAAAGUAAUUGUUCAUGAAAGGUGUUGGAAAUUGUUCUAGAAAGCUUAAUGUUUGAAAUGUACAGUGUGUCUUAUUGCUCUGUUUCAUGUACUCAUUUCUACUUCCAUUCAAUAAACUGCUUCCUCUCUGAA